AAGUCGUAACAAGGUAACCGUAGGUGAACCUGCGGUUGGAUCAUUACCAAUGAGAUGGACGGUGGCGAGUUCCCUCUCGAGGUUGAGCUCGGCACUGGCCACAAACCACUUGUGCACUUGAUGUAUUUUGGAGGUUGCUUGCGACUCCAGCUGUGAACCACUGAACCUUUGACUAAGUAUGAGAUAAAGAGAAACAACUUUUGACAACGGAUCUCUUGGCUCUU
Molecule: unclassified non-coding RNA, 224 nt
Filed under: fungal sp.
Lineage: Eukaryota; Fungi
Description: partial internal transcribed spacer region
Rfam family: Eukaryotic small subunit ribosomal RNA (bases 1-46)
Source: RNAcentral